This 404-nucleotide ribosomal RNA is filed under the name uncultured Clostridium sp. RNAcentral describes it as "bacterial SSU rRNA". It matches the Rfam family "Bacterial small subunit ribosomal RNA", at positions 355 to 776 of the family's 1533-position model. Lineage: Bacteria; Bacillati; Bacillota; Clostridia; Eubacteriales; Clostridiaceae. The record is from RNAcentral.
UGGGGAAUAUUGCACAAUGGGGGAAACCCUGAUGCAGCGACGCCGCGUGAAGGAUGAAGUAUUUCGGUAUGUAAACUUCUAUCAGCAGGGAAGAAAGUGACGGUACCUGACUAAGAAGCCCCGGCUAACUACGUGCCAGCAGCCGCGGUAAUACGUAGGGGGCAAGCGUUAUCCGGAUUUACUGGGUGUAAAGGGAGCGUAGACGGAACGGCAAGUCUGAAGUGAAAGCCCGGGGCUCAACCCCGGGACUGCUUUGGAAACUGUUGAUCUAGAGUGCUGGAGAGGCAAGUGGAAUUCCUAGUGUAGCGGUGAAAUGCGUAGAUAUUAGGAGGAACACCAGUGGCGAAGGCGGCUUGCUGGACAGUAACUGACGUUGAGGCUCGAAAGCGUGGGGAGCAAACAGG